RNAcentral lists this ribosomal RNA (497 nucleotides) under uncultured bacterium. RNAcentral's name for it is "partial 16S ribosomal RNA". It matches the Rfam family "Bacterial small subunit ribosomal RNA", at positions 28 to 507 of the family's 1533-position model. The record is from RNAcentral.
GAUGAACGCUGGCGGCGUGCCUAAUACAUGCAAGUCGAGCGAACGGACGAGAAGCUUGCUUCUCUGACGUUAGCGGCGGACGGGUGAGUAACACGUGGAUAACCUACCUAUCAGACUGGGAUAACUUCGGGAAACCGUAGCUAAUACCGGAUAAUAUUUUGAACCGCAUGGUUCAAUAGUGAAAGACGGUCUUUCUGUCACUUAUAUAUGGAUCCGCGCUGCAUUAGCUAGUUGGUAAGGUAACGGCUUACCAAGGCAACGAUGCGUAGCCGACAUGAGAGGGUGAUCGGCCACACUGGAACUGAGACACGGUCCAGACUCCUACGGGAGGCAGCAGUAGGGAAUCUUCCGCAAUGGGCGAAAGCCUGACGGAGCAACGCCGCGUGAGUGAUGAAGGUCUUCGGAUCGUAAAACUCUGUUAUUAGGGAAGAACAUAUGUCUAAGUAACUGUGCACAUCUUGACGGUACCUAAUCAGAAAGCCACGGCUAACUACGUG